UACGUAGGGUGCAAGCGUUAAUCGGAAUUACUGGGCGUAAAGCGUGCGCAGGCGGUUUUGUAAGUCUGACGUGAAAUCCCCGGGCUCAACCUGGGAAUUGCGAUGGAGACUGCAAGGCUUGAAUCUGGCAGAGGGGGGUAGAAUUCCACGUGUAGCAGUGAAAUGCGUAGAGAUGUGGAGGAACACCGAUGGCGAAGGCAGCCCCCUAGGUCAAGAUUGACGCUCAUGCACGAAAGCGUGGGGAGCAAACAGG
Molecule: ribosomal RNA, 253 nt
Filed under: uncultured bacterium
Lineage: Bacteria
Description: partial 16S ribosomal RNA
Rfam family: Bacterial small subunit ribosomal RNA
Source: RNAcentral